UUUUGAAUCAGUGAUAUCCUUAAGGUAAACUGGGAUUAGGUACCCCACUAUUUUUGGAUGUAAAUUAGAUAUGAUUUACCAGAGCACUAUGAAUGUAUAAAGAUUUAAAACUCAAAGGACUUGGCGGUGUUUUAGACCACUCAGGGGAACCUGUCUCGUAAUCGAUAAUCCGCGUUGCACCUGACCUCUUUUUGUUCUCAGUUUGUAUACCGUUGUCGUCAGGUAACUUUUUAGAAACUAGAAGUUAGCUAUAGAAAUAAUUGAUGGUUUAAUACGUCAAAUCAAGGUGCAGCUUAUAUAGAGGGGAGGAUGGGUUACAAUUAUAUAAUUUAUAAUAACGGAGAUAUACAUGAAUAUGUGUUAAUUAUAAGGUGGACUUGAAAGUAAAUUGAAAUAUAUAAAUAAUUUGAAUAAGGCUCUGAAACGUGU
This 429-nucleotide ribosomal RNA is filed under the name Myurella pygmaea. RNAcentral describes it as "Terenolla pygmaea partial 12S ribosomal RNA". The record is from RNAcentral. Lineage: Eukaryota; Metazoa; Mollusca; Gastropoda; Neogastropoda; Terebridae.